UUGUAACUAUGUUCUGUGCUCUCUCUCGGGAGGGCUGAACGAAGGUGGGCUGCUUCAUUGUAGUCUGCCGAUGUACUUUUAAACCCAUUAAACUAAUACUGAACUAUACUCCGAAAACGAAAGUCUUUGGUUUUAAUCAAUAACAACUUUCAGCAGUGGAUGUCUAGGCUCGCACAUCGAUGAAGAACGCUGCGAACUGCGAUACGUAAUGCGAAUUGCAGAAUUCAGUGAGUCAUCGAAAUUUUGAACGCACAUUGCACUUUCGGGUUAUGCCUGGAAGUAUGCCUGUAUCAGUGUCCGUACAUCAAACUUGCCUUUCUUUUUUUGUGUAGUCAAGAAGAGAGAUGGCAGACUGUGAGGUGUCUCGCUGACUCCCUCCUCGGAGGAGAAGACGCGAGUCCCUUUAAAUGUACGUUCGCUCUUUCUUGUGUUUAAGAUGAAGUGUGACUUUCGAACGCAGUGAUCUGUUUGGAUCGCUUUGCUCGAGUGGGCGACUUCGGUUAGGACAUUAAAGGAAGCAACCUCUAUUGGCGGUAUGUUAGGCUUCGGCCCGACUUUGCAGCUGACGGUGUGUUGUUUUCUGUUCUUUCCUUGAGGUGUACCUGUCUUGUGUGAGGCAAUGGUCUGGGCAAAUGGUUAUUGUGUAG
Molecule: ribosomal RNA, 647 nt
Filed under: Pythium sp. N053
Lineage: Eukaryota; Oomycota; Peronosporomycetes; Pythiales; Pythiaceae
Description: eukaryotic LSU rRNA
Rfam family: 5.8S ribosomal RNA (bases 145-299)
Source: RNAcentral